RNAcentral lists this ribosomal RNA (468 nucleotides) under uncultured bacterium. RNAcentral describes it as "partial 16S ribosomal RNA". It matches the Rfam family "Bacterial small subunit ribosomal RNA", at positions 28 to 507 of the family's 1533-position model. The record is from RNAcentral.
GACGAACGCUGGCGGCGUGCUUAACACAUGCAAGUCGAACGGAAAGGCCCUGCUUUUGUGGGGUGCUCGAGUGGCGCACGGGUGAGUAACACGUGAGUAACAUGCCCUUGACUUUGGGAUAACUUCAGGAAACUGGGGCUCAUACCGGAUAGGAGCUCCUGCUGCAUGGUGGGGGUUGGAAAGUUUCGGCGGUUGGGGAUGGACUCGCGGCUUAUCAGCUUGUUGGUGGGGUAGUGGCUGACCAAGGCUUUGACGGGUAGCCGGCCUGAGAGGGUGACCGGCGACAUUGGGACUGCGAUACGGCCCAGACUCCUACGGGAGGCAGCAGUGGGGAAUAUUGCACAAUGGGCGCAAGCCUGAUGCAGCAGCGCCGCGUGCGGGAUGACGGCCUUCGGGUUGUAAACCGCUUUCGCCUGUGACGAAGCGUGAGUGACGGUAAUGGGUAAAGAAGCACCGGCUAACUACGUG